AUGGCUGGAGGAAGAAGGAACGCUGAUCCGAAUGCAGCGAACUUGAGCCAAGCAUACUACCCGUCAUGGGUGUAUGAUAGACUAACUGAACAAGAAGUGUGUGAGAUAUCUCCCGUUGCUGGCAGGCAUGAGUUGGAGAGGAAGCUGUGCAUGGUUGGACUAUGGUGCAUCCAGAUGAAGUCGCAUGACAGGCCGACAAUGAGUGAGGUCAUAGAGAUGCUGGAAGGUGGCUUCGAUGGCCUGCAGAUGCCUUCCAGGCCAUUCUUCUGCGACGACGAGCACACCGUUGUUCCGGAUUCUUACCCUUUGUUAUCCGAGCUGACCGAGAUCUCGGAGGAGGAUGAGAUCUCAGAUUCUUAUGUUUCCCGGGUCCUAUGA
RNAcentral lists this ribosomal RNA (378 nucleotides) under Triticum aestivum (bread wheat). RNAcentral describes it as "partial small subunit ribosomal RNA". Lineage: Eukaryota; Viridiplantae; Streptophyta; Magnoliopsida; Poales; Poaceae. The record is from RNAcentral.